UAGGGAAUCUUCGGCAAUGGGGGGAACCCUGACCGAGCAACGCCGCGUGAGUGAAGAAGGUUUUCGGAUCGUAAAGCUCUGUUGUUAAGGAAGAACGAGUGUGAGAAUGGAAAGUUCAUACUGUGACGGUACUUAACCAGAAAGGGACGGCUAACUACGUGCCAGCAGCCGCGGUAAUACGUAGGUCCCGAGCGUUGUCCGGAUUUAUUGGGCGUAAAGCGAGCGCAGGCGGUCAAUUAAGUCUGAUGUGAAAGCCCCCGGCUCAACCGGGGAGGGUCAUUGGAAACUGGUUGACUUGAGUGCAGAAGAGGAGAGUGGAAUUCCAUGUGUAGCGGUGAAAUGCGUAGAUAUAUGGAGGAACACCGGUGGCGAAAGCGGCUCUCUGGUCUGUAACUGACGCGGAGGCUCGAAAGCGUGGGGAGCGAACAGG
RNAcentral lists this ribosomal RNA (430 nucleotides) under Bacteroidota bacterium. RNAcentral describes it as "Bacteroidetes bacterium partial 16S ribosomal RNA". It matches the Rfam family "Bacterial small subunit ribosomal RNA", at positions 355 to 776 of the family's 1533-position model. Lineage: Bacteria; Pseudomonadati; Bacteroidota. The record is from RNAcentral.